This 254-nucleotide ribosomal RNA is filed under the name uncultured bacterium. RNAcentral describes it as "partial 16S ribosomal RNA". It matches the Rfam family "Bacterial small subunit ribosomal RNA", at positions 524 to 776 of the family's 1533-position model. The record is from RNAcentral.
UACGGAGGGUGCGAGCGUUGUCCGGAAUCAUUGGGCGUAAAGGGCGCGUAGGUGGCCCGGUCAGUUCGUGGUGAAAGCGCGGGGCUCAACCCUGCGUCGGCCAUGAAUACUGCCGCGGCUGGAGCACUGUAGAGGCAGGCGGAAUUCCGGGUGUAGCGGUGGAAUGCGCAGAUAUCAGGAGGAACACCAAUUGCGAAGGCAGCUCGCUGGGACGUUACUGACGCUGAGACGCGAAAGCGUGGGGAGCAAACAGG